This 305-nucleotide ribosomal RNA is filed under the name uncultured bacterium. Its description in RNAcentral is "bacterial SSU rRNA". It matches the Rfam family "Bacterial small subunit ribosomal RNA", at positions 335 to 633 of the family's 1533-position model. The record is from RNAcentral.
UACCUAUGGGGGGCAGCAGUGAGGAAUAUUGGUCAAUGGGAGAGAUCCUGAACCAGCCAAGCCGCGUGAGGGAUGAAGGUUUUCGGAUCGUAAACCUCUGUCAGGAGGGAAGAAAGCGCAUGGCGCCAAUCAGCCAUGCGUUGACGGUACCUCCAAAGGAAGCGCCGGCUAACUCCGUGCCAGCAGCCGCGGUAAUACGGAGGGCGCGAGCGUUAAUCGGAAUUACUGGGCGUAAAGCGCGCGUAGGCUGUUGUGUAAGUUGGGGGUGAAAUCCCACGGCUCAACCGUGGAACAGCCCUUGAUAC